AGAACAUCCACCGUGGAGUGGAAACAGAAGGGUGCUCCAGGUCUGAGUGCCACUUGUGGAUCCUGUCACUUCUCGAUGUGAGUCUUUGGGCAAAUCACGUCACUUCUGUUGAGCUGCAUUUCCCUCACAUGUAAAACAGAGCAACUGAGGAAGAGAACAUGUGGCCUAGGACACUGAUUCCAGCAUGGUGUCUAACACCCAGUGGGCAUCAAAAAAAUGGUAAGUGAAUGAAAGAAUGACCUGUGACACAGUGACUGUAAUUCCAAGGUACAACUAGGGCAGAGGAAAGUAGCAGUCAUCUCAGAGGGGAGAAAAACCAAAACCGGAUGGACUGAAGGGGACCUUUCUAAACCAGGCUGAAGACAGAGUGCCACCCACCCCUCAGCAGUCCCUGAAGGCUCAUCAGCCACAGGACACCUGUUCCAUCCUAUUUCUAGGGCUUACAAAACAGAUGGAGUUAAUUAACAAAGACAAUACAUAUAUGCAUCAUCCUGCAGCCAUAAACCAGAAGGAUGUCACAGCUUUAACUUCAAAGCCUCCCAGCAAGCACAGCCUGAGAUAUUUUUAGGCAUCAGCUCCAUUGUUUCAAAGAGGAUAUGGUUUGGUGAAAUAAAAUUGCCAAAAAGUAAAAUUCACAGGACAACCUUGCUAGGAUGAAGAGUGGCAUUUGAUUUUAAAACCAGUUAUGUCUGUCUUAAAGGGUGUGCUUCUGCAAAGCUGAGAAUAAAUUUUGUCAUCAAAUGUUUAA
Neofelis nebulosa (Clouded leopard) is the source of this 748-nucleotide long non-coding RNA. RefSeq lists it as uncharacterized. The transcript is spliced from 3 exons. NCBI's taxonomy places the organism in Eukaryota, Metazoa, Chordata, Mammalia, Carnivora, Felidae. The record is from RefSeq and is a predicted model, not a curated record.